UAAGAAUUAGUUAAAAAAUAAUAUAAACUUGUCAUGUUUAAGUUGAAUAUUCAUUCUUAA
This 60-nucleotide transfer RNA is filed under the name Proasellus jaloniacus. Its description in RNAcentral is "transfert RNA-D(GAC)". Lineage: Eukaryota; Metazoa; Arthropoda; Malacostraca; Isopoda; Asellidae. The record is from RNAcentral.